CCAGACUCCUACGGGAGGCAGCAGUGGGGAAUAUUGGGCAAUGGGCGCAAGCCUGACCCAGCAAUGCCGCGUGAAGGAAGAAGGCUUUCGGGUUGUAAACUUCUUUGACAGGGGAAGAGCAGAAGACGGUACCCUGAAAACAAGCCACGGCUAACUACGUGCCAGCAGCCGCGGUAAUACGUAGGUGGCAAGCGUUGUCCGGAUUUACUGGGUGUAAAGGGCGUGUAGGCGGGGACGCAAGUCAGAUGUGAAAACCACGGGCUCAACCUGUGGCCUGCAUUUGAAACUGUGUUUCUUGAGUACUGGAGAGGCAGACGGAAUUCCUAGUGUAGCGGUGAAAUGCGUAGAUAUUAGGAGGAACACCAGUGGCGAAGGCGGCCUGCUGGACGACAACUGACGGUGAGGCGCGAAAGCGUGGGGAGCAAACAGGAUUAGAUACCCGAGUA
RNAcentral lists this ribosomal RNA (446 nucleotides) under uncultured bacterium. RNAcentral's name for it is "bacterial SSU rRNA". It matches the Rfam family "Bacterial small subunit ribosomal RNA", at positions 331 to 792 of the family's 1533-position model. The record is from RNAcentral.